GGACAGCGAGUGGGGGCUGGAGGCUACACCAGGAGCUUUCCCCAAAGAGUGCACAUCGGUGGCAACUGAGACUUUUAAAUAAAGAAGCGCUCUGUAGCUCGGCCACGUUUAGCGGGCCACCAAGGACCACCUUGCAGGAUGUCCCCCUCUCCGACCCCUCCCCUACGUGGCCUGCGAUAGCGAAGGCGACAGUAGCCCCCAAGAACUAGGCCAGCUGCCAAGGCGAGCGCCCCAGCGCCCCGCCCUCCCGAGUCACCGCGUGCGCACUCCGCAUGCGCGGCGCGGACGGCCGCUCCCAUUGGCCGGCAGCCCCGUCCGUCAGCGGGCGGGACGAGCGCGGAGAGAAAAAGGCUACAUUGUAACAAGGAACAGCACGUGCCGUUCAAAUUAAAAUGGGUCACAGAUAUUGAGAAUCGGGAAACUGCACAGUUGGUCACUGGCCGUCUAGGAAAUGUGUCAGCCGUGCUCGCUUGCCUGUCUCUCAGUCUCUCCGUCUGGGAAAUGGGAUUCAGCAUCAAGGAGGGAUGGAAGGCAGCGAGGGAAAGACCGGACGGAAUUUUCAUGAAGACAAAAUGCCUGGAAGGCCGCAGUGCUUCUCUGGGCCCCCGAAAACCAAGGGGCUAGGAGGGUCCGGGAAGGCGUAGCCAGGGCAACCACUCACCAACAGUCUGCUCCCGGCUGGCCUGCCAGGUGCGUGUCCCAACUGUGAGGGCUGUGCUGCCGGGGAGAAUCUGAAACGCGGUGUGUCCCCAGUUGGGGUUGUCAAGAGGGUGCACCCCAGUCUGACUGCCCAGAGAGUCAUGUCCCCCACAACCCCCAGCCAUCAAAGCGUUCCAGAACCGGCCUAGGCAGGCCUCCUCCUACUGGAAAGGAAUCGUGUCUCAGCCCCAGGUCUGAGAGGUCCACAUGGGGGUCUAUGGUCAGAUCUGAGGGCCGAGGCUCUGGGAUUCUGGAUGUCAGUCUGGACUAGGAGGGAAGCCUUAGGCUAAUCCCCUUGUCUAUGGCAUUACAAGCACUCCUUGCAAUUCCACCACUGUCCUUUGCUGUGUGAUCUUGAGUAAAUGGUUUCACC
RNAcentral lists this long non-coding RNA (1072 nucleotides) under Chinchilla lanigera (long-tailed chinchilla). Its description in RNAcentral is "lncRNA (ENSCLAG00000028417.1)". The record is from RNAcentral. Lineage: Eukaryota; Metazoa; Chordata; Mammalia; Rodentia; Chinchillidae.